UGGGCCCGUGGUCUAGUCGGUUAUGACGUCGCUCUUACACAGCGGAGAUCCGGAGUUCGAAUCUCCGCGGGCCCAU
Molecule: transfer RNA, 76 nt
Filed under: uncultured archaeon
Lineage: Archaea
Description: tRNA-Val(tac)
Rfam family: tRNA
About the family: Transfer RNA (tRNA) molecules are approximately 80 nucleotides in length. Their secondary structure includes four short double-helical elements and three loops (D, anti-codon, and T loops).
Source: RNAcentral